GAUGAAGAACGCAGCGAAAUGCGAUAAGUAAUGUGAAUUGCAGAAUUCAGUGAAUCAUCGAAUCUUUGAACGCACCUUGCGCCCUUUGGCUAUUCCGAAGGGCAUGCCUGUUUGAGUAUCAUGAACUCCUCAACUCUUCACGGCUUGCCGUGAUGAGUUUGGACUUUGGGGGUCUUGCUGGCCUACGAGCCAGCUCCUCUCAAAUGUAUUAGCUUGCCGGUGUUUGGUGGCAUCACAGGUGUGAUAACUAUCUACGCUUGUGGUUUUCCACUAGGUAACCUUCAGCAAUGGAGGUUCACCGGAGCUCACAAAUGUCUCUCCUUGCCAAGGACAGAUUUUGACCAUUUGAUCUCAAAUCAGGUAGGACUACCCGCUGAACUUAAGCAUAUCAAUAAGCGGAGGA
This 403-nucleotide unclassified non-coding RNA is filed under the name soil metagenome. RNAcentral's name for it is "partial contains 5.8S ribosomal RNA, internal transcribed spacer 2, and large subunit ribosomal RNA". The stretch from base 1 to 121 matches the Rfam family "5.8S ribosomal RNA", at positions 35 to 154 of the family's 154-position model. The record is from RNAcentral.